CCCUUAGAGUUUGAUCCUGGCUCAGGAUGAACGCUGGCGGCGUGCUUAACACAUGCAAGUCGAGCGAAGCGAUUUAAGUGAAGUUUUCGGAUGGAUCUUAAAUUGACUGAGCGGCGGACGGGUGAGUAACGCGUGGAUAACCUGCCUCACACAGGGGGAUAACAGUUAGAAAUGACUGCUAAUACCGCAUAAGCGCACGGUACCGCAUGGUACAGUGUGAAAAACUCCGGUGGUGUGAGAUGGAUCCGCGUCUGAUUAGGUAGUUGGUGAGGUAACGGCCCACCAAGCCGACGAUCAGUAGCCGACCUGAGAGGGUGACCGGCCACAUUGGGACUGAGACACGGCCCAAACUCCUACGGGAGGCAGCAGUGGGGAAUAUUGCACAAUGGGCGAAAGCCUGAUGC
This 404-nucleotide ribosomal RNA is filed under the name uncultured bacterium. Its description in RNAcentral is "bacterial SSU rRNA". It matches the Rfam family "Bacterial small subunit ribosomal RNA", at positions 1 to 389 of the family's 1533-position model. The record is from RNAcentral.